AGGGUGGAAGUGAGUGUUGUCAGCUGCUGUCACCAUCAUUGACGGGACCUCUAGCAACCACCCGCCUCCACCUUUAUUCUUAAACAAAAGCCUUCCAGGACAGACAAAACCCUCUAGCAAUGACGACUCCAGCACCCCAGGUGGACCUGCCAUGGUGGCAGAAAUAUCUGGCUCGUGGUGUUGGUUGUGGAGGAGGCAUAAUUGCUAUGGGGCUUGGAGUGUUCAACUGUCUCACUAUCACUCCCAUGUGUAUUGUUGCAGGUAUCUGGCAAAUGCUAGCAGCUUUUAUUGUAAUCUCUGCUGAAGCUCCAUGCUGCUGUAUGUUUAUUGAUUUUGUUCAGCAGUAUUCAACCUGGGUGGAGGGUAGACAACACUGGCAGAAAGCUGCUUUCUACAUCAUCUUGGCUCUUCCAGCUGUCAUCAUGUGCCCAGGACUGGCUACUAUAUUUGGCUCGGGCCUCAUCUUCUUGUGUGGGGUUUUGUAUGGAAUGAUGGCCCUUGGAAAAAAGGGAAGUCGGGAGGAUAUGAUCGCUGCAGCUCAGCAAAACACUGGGCCGGCCAACUCUCAAAGUGCUAUCUUGGUGGAUGACCCUGAAGCCUGGCGCUCCACUUGAACCAGCUAACAGUUUUAUAACAACUACCAUCCAUCGUUUUGAUAACAACCGCUUACAUAGGCUCCAGGGAUGACAUGAUAGCUGCUGCUCAGAACUCGACACGGCCAGGCAACAUGAAGGAUCCUCUGGUGGAUGGAGCUUCUCCGACACCUGCUUAAGUUACUUUAUCACACCUCUUCCAGCUCAAGUGGGAGCAGUGAAUAUGUCGUAUUUGUUGUUGUGGUUAGGAUGUUUGCGUCAUUGAAAAGAUUUUUUUUUAUAUAUAUAUAUAUAAAUUUGUAGUAUAUAGUAUUUUGGAAAAUGUUAGUUUCAUAUGAAUCGUGAACAGCUUCCCCAUUGCCACACCCCUUACUAUAAAAUUAACAACAUGAAUGGAGGACAGUAAUAUGGUAACAUAUCAUAAUCAUUUAAAUUACACUUAAGGAAAGUUUUGUCAUUAAAUGGCACUAUUUUUAAGGCUUCCUUUUCACUGUUGAAAUUUAAUUUGUGUCCUUGUGUUAGGAAAGCUUAUAUUUUUCUUUUUCAUUUUAUAGAAUACAGUAAUAAAAUAUUGAUCUUUCCAUAGGUUUAGAUGUUUCCUUUAUUGACAUAAAAGAUACUUGUGCCUGCAAUCAUGCUGCAGCCCAUUAAAUCAAUGCCUGUAGCAUAUGAUAGAAAAAACAUUUGUUCCCAGGAAACUUAACUCAAACAGCCAUUUUCAUAAAGAUAUGUGUGGUUCUGGUCUUUGACUAUAAAUUUGAGAAUGGUAAUGAAGUAGAAAGUGCUGUGGUAGUUUGUGGUGAGGCCAUUGUUGUUGCUACUGGGUCAGUCAAACUCUUAACACUAACUUAAAUACUUAUAUGAAGAUUGGACAGAGAAUAUCAGCACUAAUGUAAUAAGUAAAAUAUGGUGAUAAUUGCUAAUAUUUAGAAUUUUUUUUUUAAUAUUAAAAAGUAGGUAACUAUGUAAGGUAUUAAAUUAAAACUAUAAGUCAAUAUACUAAAUCACUAUGUAAGGUGCUAUACACAAUCACUGAUCAAACCCUGAAUAUGACUGACCAUUUAUAUUCUGACAUCCAGUACUGUAUUUGAAAGAAUUGAAUUGAUAAGUUUAUUAAUCUUAAAAUUGAUUGCCAGAUACCUAGAUAUUUCACUUUCUUGUAAAACAGAUUUGAUUUGCUUAUAGUAUCUGGCUCUCUCGACAUAAACAUUGUUUAUGGUCAGCAGUGUCAAUGUUUUAAUCUGCAUUUUAAUUUUUAAUUUAGUUAAUAUAAUGUACUAGGUGUCCCAGAAGUCUGGACCUGAAGAGAUACAUUCACAAUUUACAUUUAAUUAAUUUAUUAUCAAAUCCAUUAACAGUGCUACAUAUUAAUUCUUGGGAUUUUUUUUUUUUAAUGAAUUUAUGAUUUUUUUUUUUUUUUUGGAGGGGGGGGGGGUAGAAUAAGAAUGUAUGUUUCACUCUGGGUCUUCCAAAACCUAUUAAGAAUGCCAGUGACCCAUCAGGGUAUUUUGAAAUUUUGAAAUGUGUAAAACCGACAUUAGGAAUGUAUAACUUUUGAUGAAUAUAACACCAAUAUUUCUUAUGGGUGCAGAGUUUUGGGACCCUGUACAAUAUAGCUGCUCAAUACGCUAUGGUUACUUGGCUACAAAUGUUCACCAAUAGCUUAGAGAAGUACUAGUGCAUAACAAGCUUUAUAAAGCUUGCUAGAUAAUACAGAUAAUUAACUUCCAGGUGUAAUGAUGUCACUUAGCACAAAGGAGAAAUUAAACAAGUGGCUCCUUAUAUGUACACUUUAAGAGCGACUGGAAUAUGCUGCCAAUUUUAAUAUUGAUUUUUUACCGCUAGAUAUUCAUACUCGCUGGAAGAAGGUAAAUUGUACUUAAAAAAGCUUAAAUUUAAAGCAGUUUGCAAUGUGAAUGAAAGGUACAACACUCCAAGUUUUUCUUCAUGCAGUAAUAAUUUAAAAAAAUCUUUCCAAGGCAUAACUUUGAAAUUGUUGGUAAACUACAGAUGCUGUAUAGGAUUAAACAUGAAUUUUUGAGAGUUAAGGGGCAGAAAUUAGACUUCAACUAUAAUUGAUCUGUCAUUGUAAUAUACAGUCCAUUGAUACCAUGACAAAGGAGAGCUUAUGAUAAUGAAUGGAAUUUGAUGCACAACUAGAUUACAACUUUUUUUUUAUGAAAAAUAAAGUCGUAUAACCAGUUACUCGGGUGAAAAAUA
Cherax quadricarinatus is the source of this 2813-nucleotide RNA transcript. It is a transcript of the gene named Calcium channel fwe, with no coding region annotated. The record is from RefSeq and is a predicted model, not a curated record. NCBI's taxonomy places the organism in Eukaryota, Metazoa, Arthropoda, Malacostraca, Decapoda, Parastacidae.